This is a long non-coding RNA of Chenopodium quinoa (quinoa), 668 nucleotides long. RefSeq lists it as uncharacterized. The transcript is spliced from 2 exons. Lineage: Eukaryota; Viridiplantae; Streptophyta; Magnoliopsida; Caryophyllales; Amaranthaceae. The record is from RefSeq and is a predicted model, not a curated record.
UUAAAAAAUGGGCGGGAUACGCAAAUUCACAUUGCCACCAGUUCAAACCGAACCGGUGGCAUAAAUGGUAAAGGCCACCGGUUUGAACCCGUGGCAAUAAUAAAUUAAAAAAAAGCCCCCCUUAUAAACCCCAAACCCUAUCUCAUUUCCCUCUCAGUCGCUCUUUCUCUCUCCUACUCUCCCCUCUCCCCUUUCUCUCUCCUGCUCUCCCCUCUCUUCUUUCUCUUUCAAUUCGUCUUCUCUGUUCUCAUCUCCUUUUCUUCGAUCUUCUCCUUUGAUCUCCUCGUCUCCUUCUCUUUCAUUUCCACCAUCACCAAGACCACCACCGCAACAAUAAACCAUGAAGACAUGCACCACGAAGACAUGCACGAGGUAUAUUGAUUUAGAUGUAGAUGUUAAAUCGAAGAAUAAAGAUGUAGGAUUAUUGAUUUAGGUGUUAUAUGAGUUGUUUUUUAAUUUUAAUGUUGUAAUUUUUUUUUUGGUUUUUUAUUGUAAUUUUUUUUUUAAUGUUGGAAUUUUAGUUUUGUGUAAUUUGAUUAAUUUAGUUCGUUUAAAUUGGAAUUGUUGUAUGAGUAAUUUAGUUGUAGUUAUUAAUUUAGUUUUUUCACUCUUAAAAAGUGUACAAUUACUAGAUACUGAUGAAUAUAUAUGUGUUUUUAUGUAUUUUA